GGGUUGUGAGGUUAAGCGACUAAGCGUACACGGUGGAUGCCCUGGCAGUCAGAGGCGAUGAAGGACGUGCUAAUCUGCGAUAAGCGUCGGUAAGGUGAUAUGAACCGUUAUAACCGGCGAUUUCCGAAUGGGGAAACCCAGUGUGAUUCGUCACACUAUCAUUAACUGAAUCCAUAGGUUAAUGAGGCGAACCGGGGGAACUGAAACAUCUAAGUACCCCGAGGAAAAGAAAUCAACCGAGAUUCCCCCAGUAGCGGCGAGCGAACGGGGAGCAGCCCAGAGCCUGAAUCAGUGUGUGUGUUAGUGGAAGCGUCUGGAAAGGCGYGCGAUACAGGGUGACAGCCCCGUACACAAAAAUGCACAURYUGUGAGCUCGAUGAGUAGGGCGGGACACGUGGUAUCCUGUCUGAAUAUGGGGGGACCAUCCUCCAAGGCUAAAUACUCCUGACUGACCGAUAGUGAACCAGUACCGUGAGGGAAAGGCGAAAAGAACCCCGGCGAGGGGAGUGAAAAAGAACCUGAAACCGUGUACGUACAAGCAGUGGGAGCACGCUUAGGCGUGUGACUGCGUACCUUUUGUAUAAUGGGUCAGCGACUUAUAUUCUGUAGCAAGGUUAACCGAAUAGGGGAGCCGAAGGAAAACCGAGUCUUAACUGGGCGUUAAGUUGCAGGGUAUAGACCCGAAACCCGGUGAUCUAGCCAUGGGCAGGUUGAAGGUUGGGUAACACUAACUGGAGGACCGAACCGACUAAUGUUGAAAAAUUAGCGGAUGACUUGUGGCUGGGGGUGAAAGGCCAAUCAAACCGGGAGAUAGCUGGUUCUCCCCGAAAGCUAUUUAGGUAGCGCCUCGUGAAUUCAUCUCCGGGGGUAGAGCACUGUUUCGGCAAGGGGGUCAUCCCGACUUACCAACCCGAUGCAAACUGCGAAUACCGGAGAAUGUUAUCACGGGAGACACACGGCGGGUGCUAACGUCCGUCGUGAAGAGGGAAACAACCCAGACCGCCAGCUAAGGUCCCAAAGUCAUGGUUAAGUGGGAAACGAUGUGGGAAGGCCCAGACAGCCAGGAUGUUGGCUUAGAAGCAGCCAUCAUUUAAAGAAAGCGUAAUAGCUCACUGGUCGAGUCGGCCUGCGCGGAAGAUGUAACGGGGCUAAACCAUGCACCGAAGCUGCGGCAGCGACGCUGAUGCGUUGUUGGGUAGGGGAGCGUUCUGUAAGCCUGUGAAGGUGUGCUGUGAGGCAUGCUGGAGGUAUCAGAAGUGCGAAUGCUGACAUAAGUAACGAUAAAGCGGGUGAAAAGCCCGCUCGCCGGAAGACCAAGGGUUCCUGUCCAACGUUAAUCGGGGCAGGGUGAGUCGACCCCUAAGGCGAGGCCGAAAGGCGUAGUCGAUGGGAAACAGGUUAAUAUUCCUGUACUUGGUGUUACUGCGAAGGGGGGACGGAGAAGGCUAUGUUGGCCGGGCGACGGUUGUCCCGGUUUAAGCGUGUAGGCUG
This 1491-nucleotide ribosomal RNA is filed under the name Escherichia coli. Its description in RNAcentral is "partial 23S ribosomal RNA". Lineage: Bacteria; Pseudomonadati; Pseudomonadota; Gammaproteobacteria; Enterobacterales; Enterobacteriaceae. The record is from RNAcentral.